This 253-nucleotide ribosomal RNA is filed under the name uncultured bacterium. RNAcentral describes it as "partial 16S ribosomal RNA". It matches the Rfam family "Bacterial small subunit ribosomal RNA", at positions 524 to 776 of the family's 1533-position model. The record is from RNAcentral.
UACAGAGGAUGCAAGUGUUAUCCGGAAUUAUUGGGCGUAAAGCGUCUGUAGGUUGAUAAUUAAGUCUUUUAUUAAAUCUUUAAGCUUAACUUAAAUACUGUAAAAGAAACUAUUUAUCUAGAGUAUAGUAGAGGUUAAAGGAAUUUCCAGUGGAGCGGUGAAAUGUGUAGAUAUUGGAAAGAACACCGAAAGCGAAGGCAUUUAACUAGGCUAUUACUGACACUCAGAGACGAAAGCUAGGGGAGCAAAUCGG